GUGAAUCAUCGAAUUUUUGAACACAAAUUGCACUCUCCUCGGAGAGUAUGCCUGUUUGAGGGACAGCCUAUAAAAAAUCGACAUCGUUGCUGUUUCGCGGUGGCGUUCGUCGGAAAUUGGGCCAUCUUAAAUCCUUUUGAUUUAAGCGACUCAAAAUUUUCUUCUGGUUCCAUGAACGUCUCUACGUCCUAUUUCUUUACACGUCUAUGACAUCUAUUUUUACUAGACGUGACCA
RNAcentral lists this unclassified non-coding RNA (235 nucleotides) under Glomus sp. RNAcentral's name for it is "partial contains 5.8S ribosomal RNA and internal transcribed spacer 2". The stretch from base 1 to 65 matches the Rfam family "5.8S ribosomal RNA", at positions 84 to 154 of the family's 154-position model. The record is from RNAcentral. Lineage: Eukaryota; Fungi; Glomeromycota; Glomeromycetes; Glomerales; Glomeraceae.